Triticum dicoccoides is the source of this 804-nucleotide long non-coding RNA. RefSeq lists it as uncharacterized. The record is from RefSeq and is a predicted model, not a curated record. NCBI's taxonomy places the organism in Eukaryota, Viridiplantae, Streptophyta, Magnoliopsida, Poales, Poaceae. The transcript is spliced from 6 exons.
CAACACGGCUUCCCUGGACGCGAUGAUUGUACCCCGUGCUCCCUGCUCCAGAUCUGGGUAAGUCUGUUGUUGCACAUCCAGUAAACUCCUGCUCCUCCUCGUCUGACGUGACAGCAUCGGCCUCCUCCUCUCCGUUUUGUCCAAGCCAGUUGAUCCAUUUUUCUGUGCUUGAAUCUGCCAUAUCAAGGAUCCUUUGUUGAAGCUGCAGCCACACUGGUUUUGUUUCUCAUCUUUAGAAGUCUUUGUAGUGGAAGGAAGGGCAAGGCAAAACCUGUCUCAGGUACCUUGUUGUUUGGAACAUGUCAUCCCUUGAGCUCGGCACCUGUUCGCAUAUGCCCUGUUCGAAGAGUGAGUCAGUGCGUGUCCGUGCUCUGUUUUACGCGUGUGUGUGUGUGUUUUGGUUCAGGUGCAAGCCCAUGGAUGCUGAAGACUAUGAGGAGUACAUACCUCUUCUUUAUGAAGUUCUCGCAGGUCAGCAACAUGAGGGCAAAAAGGGCAGGACCUCGUUAAGAAUGUCGUCCUAGUGGGCACAAGGUCGAACAUGAAGCUACCAGGAACACCGAGUUAUCCUCUGUUAGCUUGGAGGAUGGUGCUAUGGGCGACCACGUCGGCAAUGGCAACAGCGAAGGCAACAAUGAUGUUGAGAACAUGGUGGUAGCCUAAGGUGACUUAGAAACUUAUGAAGGUGUAGAUGAUGCUCCAGAUCAUGAACCAGUGGACUUAGAAACAUGAGUCUUAUUGUUUUGGGUGGCGGUGGCAUGUAUGCGUACAACUGACAUGUUACUGCUGUUGAGCAAAUAAAAC